RNAcentral lists this ribosomal RNA (695 nucleotides) under Aulacomnium palustre. Its description in RNAcentral is "eukaryotic LSU rRNA". The stretch from base 214 to 366 matches the Rfam family "5.8S ribosomal RNA". Lineage: Eukaryota; Viridiplantae; Streptophyta; Bryopsida; Aulacomniales; Aulacomniaceae. The record is from RNAcentral.
GCACACACGAGUGCAGCAACCACGCGGCGAACCAACACGUUGUCCCCCCCCUUCCGGUGGCCUCGGCCGCGGCGGCUAAAUCCCGUCGCGUCCGUCGUCGCCGCGUCGGAAUACCGAAUGAUACCGAAUCACUUCGACCAAAUGACUUAGUCCCAUUUUGGACCCCUUAACUUCUAGUUAGGGGGCGAGAAAACGAGAAACAAAGAUGAACACAACUCUCAGCAACGGAUAUCUUGGCUCCUGCAACGAUGAAGAACGCAGCGAAAUGCGAUACCUAGUGGGAAUUGCAAAAUUCCGCGAAUCAUUGAGUCUUUGAACGCAAGUUGCGCCCGAGGCUCGACCGAGGGUUUUUCCGUUAGAGCGUCACCGCGCGCCCCCACCGAGCUCCCCAACCAAGGGAGGAGUUCGAGUGCAAUUGGCCGUCCCGAGGUUCCCUUUGUGGAAUCGGGUCGGCCGAAGUACCUUGGCAGACUCCGUGGCGACACGGCCCACGAUCGGGUGAUCCGAGCCCUUCUAAAGGGGCUCGGAAUUUUUCUAAGUGUGAGGCCGCGCCGCCCCGUGUGUCCCGAAGGAGGAAAGUGUUACAUGUUAAGUGUUACAUUGAAGUGAGCAGUGAAGUGUUACCAGAGUUACGCACCAGACCUCUAAUCGGGAAAGACUACCCGCUGAGUUUAAGCAUAUCAAUAAGCGGAGGA